Molecule: unclassified non-coding RNA, 951 nt
Filed under: Hevea brasiliensis (rubber tree)
Lineage: Eukaryota; Viridiplantae; Streptophyta; Magnoliopsida; Malpighiales; Euphorbiaceae
Source: RNAcentral
GGAGCACAUUGAUCUUGGAAUUAAGUAUGACCCAUCAACUGGUAUAUAUGGAAUGGAUUUCUAUGUUGUUCUCGAGCGCCCAGGGUACCGUGUUGGUCGUCGCCGAAGAUGCAAGUCACGAGUUGGAAUUCAGCAUAGGGUGACAAAGGAGGAUGCCAUGAAGUGGUUUCAAGUGAAAUAUGAAGGUGUCAUCCUUAACAAGGCCCAAACUAUUGGGGCUUAGAAGUGGUUGGUUAUUUUAAGUUUUUGCGAGUUCUGUUUUGGCAGGAUAAUUUUUAUGUUCUUGGAGUUGUAAACUUUUUUUCUGAAGAAUUUUGAAUUGGUAGAAUCUGGAAUACUAAUUCUGUUUCAUUGUUUUAACCAUGUGGUGCUUUAUUAUUAAUCAUGCUUAAAUCAUGCAUUCAAUUUUAUUAACCCAAAUGAUUAUGGUCCAAUAGUGAGCAAGAUUUGUCAAUCUUGGGUUCCUGCAUUUCGCCUUCAUCAUUUGAAUAUGGUGAUCAGGAACGGAAUGGUUGGUUAAUCUCGGCUGAUGAUCAUCUCAAUUAGUUUGCUACCAACCGGCUACCUUGCCUGCUAUGCUUGCAAUGAAGCUCUAUAGUUUAGUGAUAGCAUAUGGUUUUGUGUGUGAACUGAGGAUGGGAGUACAAGUUUAAUAUUGAGCAGCAAGUACAUGAAUGGUCAACCUUGCAAGAUUCUUGCAAUUCAAUGCCCUGUAAUGAAUAAUGAAACAGAGUGAAAAGCUAUGAAACAUGUUCUGUCCUUGCCAGAAGUUGUUCUUUGUUUAUAACCAGUUGUAUUAUGCUUAUGUGUUAAAAGGUCUUGAUUAUAAAACUGCUGAUGCCAUUAGUGCUUACUAUAAAGUUGCUGUUUGGGAAGAUAAAUUACCUGUUUAAUAAAAAAAUUGCUAGUAAAAUGUUAUGAACAAAAUAAUCCAAAAAUAAAAUGUUAUCA